Molecule: ribosomal RNA, 645 nt
Filed under: Thelephora terrestris
Lineage: Eukaryota; Fungi; Basidiomycota; Agaricomycetes; Thelephorales; Thelephoraceae
Description: eukaryotic LSU rRNA
Rfam family: 5.8S ribosomal RNA (bases 236-390)
Source: RNAcentral
CAAGGUUUCCGUAGGUGAACCUGCGGAAGGAUCAUUACUGAAUUGUCAAACGGGUUGUUGCUGGCCCUCAUAGGGGGCAUGUGCACGCUCUGUUUACACAUCCACUCACACCUGUGCACCCUCUGUAGUUCUAUGGUCUGGGGGACCCUGUCUUCCUUCUGUGGUUCUACGUCUUUACACACACACUGUAAUAAAGUUUUAUGGAAUGUACAUCGCGUCUAACGCAAUACAAUACAACUUUCAGCAACGGAUCUCUUGGCUCUCGCAUCGAUGAAGAACGCAGCGAAAUGCGAUAAGUAAUGUGAAUUGCAGAAUUCAGUGAAUCAUCGAAUCUUUGAACGCACCUUGCGCCCCUUGGCUAUUCCGAGGGGCAUGCCUGUUUGAGUAUCAUGAACACCUCAACUCUCAUGGUUUGCCAUGAUGAGUUGGACUCUGGGGGUUUUGCUGGCCUGUGGUCGGCUCCUCUCAAAUUAAUCAGCCUCCCAGUGUUUGGUGGCAUCACGGGUGUGAUAAAUAUCUACGCUCGCUGUUGUCUGCCAGGUAACCUUUGGUCACAAAGGUUUGCUGGAGCUCACAGAUGUCUCUCCUCAGCGAGGACAGCUUUUUUAACGUUCGAUCUCAAAUCAGGUAGGACUACCCGCGAAC